GCGCCUCCUAUGGGAAUUAAUUUGAAUUUACGAUGGUUUUGAAAUUAGAAAUGAGGCCCCUCUUCACCUAUAAAUGAGAGGGCCUACCCUUUGUAUGAAUUCACUUUUGAGCUUAGAGAAUUGUUGUAAAUUGAUUUCCAGCUUUGUGCUCUUAAGUCACCUCUGAAGUUUUACUUCUUCUCUCUUUCUCAAGCUUCCUUCCUCUAUAGGAAGGCCCCCU
RNAcentral lists this long non-coding RNA (220 nucleotides) under Vigna radiata. Its description in RNAcentral is "long non-coding RNA (VRAD_LNC011759)". The record is from RNAcentral. Lineage: Eukaryota; Viridiplantae; Streptophyta; Magnoliopsida; Fabales; Fabaceae.